UUAAGCGACUAAGCGUACACGGUGGAUGCCCUGGCAGUCAGAGGCGAUGAAGGACGUGCUAAUCUGCGAUAAGCGUCGGUAAGGUGAUAUGAACCGUUAUAACCGGCGAUUUCCGAAUGGGGAAACCCAGUGUGUUUCGACACACUAUCAUUAACUGAAUCCAUAGGUUAAUGAGGCGAACCGGGGGAACUGAAACAUCUAAGUACCCCGAGGAAAAGAAAUCAACCGAGAUUCCCCCAGUAGCGGCGAGCGAACGGGGAGGAGCCCAGAGCCUGAAUCAGUGUGUGUGUUAGUGGAAGCGUCUGGAAAGGCGCGCGAUACAGGGUGACAGCCCCGUACACAAAAAUGCACAUACUGUGAGCUCGAUGAGUAGGGCGGGACACGUGGUAUCCUGUCUGAAUAUGGGGGGACCAUCCUCCAAGGCUAAAUACUCCUGACUGACCGAUAGUGAACCAGUACCGUGAGGGAAAGGCGAAAAGAACCCCGGCGAGGGGAGUGAAAAAGAACCUGAAACCGUGUACGUACAAGCAGUGGGAGCCUCUUUUAUGGGGUGACUGCGUACCUUUUGUAUAAUGGGUCAGCGACUUAUAUUCUGUAGCAAGGUUAACCGAAUAGGGGAGCCGAAGGGAAACCGAGUCUUAACUGGGCGUUAAGUUGCAGGGUAUAGACCCGAAACCCGGUGAUCUAGCCAUGGGCAGGUUGAAGGUUGGGUAACACUAACUGGAGGACCGAACCGACUAAUGUUGAAAAAUUAGCGGAUGACUUGUGGCUGGGGGUGAAAGGCCAAUCAAACCGGGAGAUAGCUGGUUCUCCCCGAAAGCUAUUUAGGUAGCGCCUCGUGAACUCAUCUCCGGGGGUAGAGCACUGUUUCGGCAAGGGGGUCAUCCCGACUUACCAACCCGAUGCAAACUGCGAAUACCGGAGAAUGUUAUCACGGGAGACACACGGCGGGUGCUAACGUCCGUCGUGAAGAGGGAAACAACCCAGACCGCCAGCUAAGGUCCCAAAGUCAUGGUUAAGUGGGAAACGAUGUGGGAAGGCCCAGACAGCCAGGAUGUUGGCUUAGAAGCAGCCAUCAUUUAAAGAAAGCGUAAUAGCUCACUGGUCGAGUCGGCCUGCGCGGAAGAUGUAACGGGGCUAAACCAUGCACCGAAGCUGCGGCAGCGACACUAUGUGUUGUUGGGUAGGGGAGCGUUCUGUAAGCCUGUGAAGGUGUGCUGUGAGGCAUGCUGGAGGUAUCAGAAGUGCGAAUGCUGACAUAAGUAACGAUAAAGCGGGUGAAAAGCCCGCUCGCCGGAAGACCAAGGGUUCCUGUCCAACGUUAAUCGGGGCAGGGUGAGUCGACCCCUAAGGCGAGGCCGAAAGGCGUAGUCGAUGGGAAACAGGUUAAUAUUCCUGUACUUGGUGUUACUGCGAAGGGGGGACGGAGAAGGCUAUGUUGGCCGGGCGACGGUUGUCCCGGUUUAAGCGUGUAGGCUGGUUUUCCAGGCAAAUCCGGAAAAUCAAGGCUGAGGCGUGAUGACGAGGCACUACGGUGCUGAAGCAACAAAUGCCCUGCUUCCAGGAAAAGCCUCUAAGCAUCAGGUAACAUCAAAUCGUACCCCAAACCGACACAGGUGGUCAGGUAGAGAAUACCAAGGCGCUUGAGAGAACUCGGGUGAAGGAACUAGGCAAAAUGGUGCCGUAACUUCGGGAGAAGGCACGCUGAUAUGUAGGUGAAGUCCCUCGCGGAUGGAGCUGAAAUCAGUCGAAGAUACCAGCUGGCUGCAACUGUUUAUUAAAAACACAGCACUGUGCAAACACGAAAGUGGACGUAUACGGUGUGACGCCUGCCCGGUGCCGGAAGGUUAAUUGAUGGGGUCAGCGCAAGCGAAGCUCUUGAUCGAAGCCCCGGUAAACGGCGGCCGUAACUAUAACGGUCCUAAGGUAGCGAAAUUCCUUGUCGGGUAAGUUCCGACCUGCACGAAUGGCGUAAUGAUGGCCAGGCUGUCUCCACCCGAGACUCAGUGAAAUUGAACUCGCUGUGAAGAUGCAGUGUACCCGCGGCAAGACGGAAAGACCCCGUGAACCUUUACUAUAGCUUGACACUGAACAUUGAGCCUUGAUGUGUAGGAUAGGUGGGAGGCUUAGAAGUGUGGACGCCAGUCUGCAUGGAGCCGACCUUGAAAUACCACCCUUUAAUGUUUGAUGUUCUAACGUUGACCCGUGAUCCGGGUUGCGGACAGUGUCUGGUGGGUAGUUUGACUGGGGCGGUCUCCUCCUAAAGAGUAACGGAGGAGCACGAAGGUUGGCUAAUCCUGGUCGGACAUCAGGAGGUUAGUGCAAUGGCAUAAGCCAGCUUGACUGCGAGCGUGACGGCGCGAGCAGGUGCGAAAGCAGGUCAUAGUGAUCCGGUGGUUCUGAAUGGAAGGGCCAUCGCUCAACGGAUAAAAGGUACUCCGGGGAUAACAGGCUGAUACCGCCCAAGAGUUCAUAUCGACGGCGGUGUUUGGCACCUCGAUGUCGGCUCAUCACAUCCUGGGGCUGAAGUAGGUCCCAAGGGUAUGGCUGUUCGCCAUUUAAAGUGGUACGCGAGCUGGGUUUAGAACGUCGUGAGACAGUUCGGUCCCUAUCUGCCGUGGGCGCUGGAGAACUGAGGGGGGCUGCUCCUAGUACGAGAGGACCGGAGUGGACGCAUCACUGGUGUUCGGGUUGUCAUGCCAAUGGCACUGCCCGGUAGCUAAAUGCGGAAGAGAUAAGUGCUGAAAGCAUCUAAGCACGAAACUUGCCCCGAGAUGAGUUCUCCCUGACCCUUUAAGGGUCCUGAAGGAACGUUGAAGACGACGACGUUGAUAGGCCGGGUGUGUAAGCGCAGCGAUGCGUUGAGCUAACCGGUACUAAUGAACCGUGAGGCUUAACCUU
RNAcentral lists this ribosomal RNA (2901 nucleotides) under Escherichia coli. Its description in RNAcentral is "bacterial LSU rRNA". It matches the Rfam family "Bacterial large subunit ribosomal RNA". The record is from RNAcentral. Lineage: Bacteria; Pseudomonadati; Pseudomonadota; Gammaproteobacteria; Enterobacterales; Enterobacteriaceae.